AGCAGCUAGAGGAGUAGGAGCUCCUGCAGUUAGGAUGCGAGGAGAAGCCUAACAAUUCAUAGAUUGUAGAGUCGGAAGGGACCACAAUGGAUCAUCAUGUCUGACCCCCUGCCCCUGGCAGGAAAAAGUACCGAGGUCAGAUGACCCCAGCCAGCCCCAGCUCCUGAAGACAGAGGGUUGUAUGGGAAUCUUACCUCUCCCUGAAAGAAAUGUCCAGCCAUCUUGGUUGCAGAGAAAAGCUGCUUUUCUGGAAUAAGUUCAAAGAAAAUACAUGCAGAAAAAGGCUAAUGGCAAUUAAAUGCAACAGAGUAGGGAGAUGAAUGCUCCAAGAGCCUUAUCAGAGCUGUUCUGCACUGUUGCUGAAUUUACUCCAAGUACCUUGUUUUUUAAUCUGAUUUGCUCUGUUCUCUAGGUCUGACCUGCAAGUCCCAGUUCACACCUGCAAUCCCAUGUCAUUAAGAGACCCCUGAUUUCUCAUUUUACCCUCUGUUAUGUUCUAUAGCUGCAGAUACCUUCCUUUGAAUUUUAACAGCUCAGAUGCAUGCCAUCCCUUUGCAAGAAUCUUUCUUUCUCAUUUCUUCCCAGGCUCUGAAUUCUAGCUCAGACAUGCAUUCGUGAUGUAAGCAGAAACCCCCAUGACACAUUUUCCAUUCUAUUCAGCCUUUAAGAACAAAGUUCCUUACCAACCAACUAUAUGAAAACGACAUUCAUUUGCUCCAUUGUGCUUGUUAGCAAGUUUCCACAGAAUAAAUGCUUUAAUAUAUCUCUGAAUGACAGACUCUGCCUUAUUCUGGCUAAUCUGGAUUGAAUAUUUCUGAAGCAGCUCAGGAAGAGAGGCAAGCAUGUCCUGCAGUGCCACAGAGAGAGAUUCCUGCAGGGAUGUGUUCCUGAAUAUUUUUUAGUAAAAAAUAAAUAUGAGACUAGACACAGAGUUGGUAGGGCUCAGCAUACCACACUCGGGGAGUAGGUGAGGUAAACUGUAUUGCUUUAAUGAGAAAUGCUGCCUAAGAGGAAAAACCUCUUCUAUAUUACCUUCAUAACUCAUCUUCAUGAUGCAAACAUAAACAAAUCAUGAAGUUCCACUCGCUCUAGGAGACUUCUAAUAUCUGAUCUGGAAAGAGCUCUCUCCAAAUCUGGAACUAGAAAUAGCUCAGCGUGCAUUUUGCAGUCCUGAGCCUACAUGUACAUGUAAGGCAAGUAGCAAAUCAGGGCUAGGUGUUUUAACACAGUCCUGUGGACUAGACCUAUGAUUAUUCCUGGAAGCAAUAUUGGAAACUGAAUUAAGGACCUUUACACAUCAGGGACUUAAUUUCCUAGCUGCUAGAUUACAUGACAUAUGGCAGCAGUCCUAGCUGCAGCAGGGUGUGAGGAGUACCUGCUGACUGAAAGCAGCUCAAGAAAGGCCUGAGGAGUCCCAGCAACUUGUUUGCUGAAUACAAUAUGGCUAGAGAGAAUUCCUGUUGAUGUUAGUCCAAGUCAUUUAAAGACCCUGAGCAAACAGUGAACACUGAGAGAAUCCUUUGAAACUUCUGGAUAUAUGUCUGUAAGAUACUCCUUUGCAUAGAGAAGUCUGGACCUGAUGCCAGCGUACAAUGAAGUACUAAGGCAUGGGGAUGAAUAACUAGCCUUUUCCUUUUUCUCUCUCCCAACAACUCUGCAUGAUGAUAUAUUAGUAAGAGAUGUAGCAUAGGCCCCUAUGAUACUUCAGUGGUUUCAAGUAACAGGCACAGCCUUUCAGGAACAUGAAUGCACCAGGAAAGUACUUGGGAUAAUUAGUGAAGAGUGCUCCAUUGAACUGAAUGGAAUUCAUUAAGUUUUUUGGGAUCACAAAAUUCCUUUUUGAACAGCUUUUGUUGUGGGUUUUUUGCUGCUGUGAAACACUUCCAUCAGAAACCAGCACAGACCUCAGAAUGGACUUGAGUCAGUAGAGACAAAUGUAAAUGGGAGAGGAAUUUACCCUGAACAUUAUGGACCAAGUUCUCUUGUAUUAUAAAGGAGAGAAGAGGGUCUCUCCUUUAAAGUUAAUUCAAAUGGAACAGGAAAGUUAUGAAUUCCUGAUUAUCAGCUGGGGUAAAUCUGCACAGCUCCACUGACUUCAGAAGAAAGGAGAUCCACUUACUUCGAAGAAGUUGUACUGAUUUACAGAAGUCAAGGGUCUGAUCUUCUUUGGAGCUGCACCAAUCAGUACACAAAGCUCAUUGGGGAGGACAGUAUCCACUUGUAGCAGUUUUGGGGGAAAAGCACGUGACUACACUAAAGAGCACCACAGCUAGUUCCAAAGGCAGAACUGAUGGAAAACAGGGGCCACAGACAAAGAUAUAAAAAGUGGCAAUAAAAAAGAACUCUCUUGGUGGCAGGUUGCCAGUUCCAGCUGGCUUAACAAGUAUAUUUCAGAAUAAAAAUACACAAUACACAGCCAAAAACCCCCCAUUAAAAUAAAAUAUCCAUGCACUCAAUCUGUCACCUACAUUUCUUUCAACAGAACAUUCUUACUUCUUAAAAUCUGUCAGCCGUAGAUGGGAGCAAGAUUACACUGUGGGUACAAAUAGGAUCCAAUACAUUUCUGCAGUAUCAAAUACAAGCAUAUCUUGUAUUUCUGGACACAGAGGGUUACUCCCUCUAUCCCUCACCAGUGACUCUGGUCUCAAAAUAUAGACUGUAUCCUUGGGUAAGAGGGAAGUGAACUUUUCCUAAUACUGUUAGUGUUUCCUCUGUUGCACACAAGGAUAUCUACAGGAGUCUGAAACUACAGUAACUUCUACUAGCCUGGUACUGUGGACAAUUCUAUGCCACUGAUAAUGCAUGUGCAUAGGUCUGUAAACUUUCAUACUUUGUUAGAUGUUUUUCCUUUGCAAAAAACCUAAUUUGUACCAAGGACUUAUAUAGUCCUAAUGAUUUCUGAGGUAAAUCAGAAUCAGCACAGGUUCAAUGGCAU
Long non-coding RNA from Alligator mississippiensis (American alligator), 2935 nucleotides. RefSeq lists it as uncharacterized. The transcript is spliced from 3 exons. Lineage: Eukaryota; Metazoa; Chordata; Crocodylia; Alligatoridae. The record is from RefSeq and is a predicted model, not a curated record.